This 484-nucleotide ribosomal RNA is filed under the name uncultured Kineosporiaceae bacterium. Its description in RNAcentral is "bacterial SSU rRNA". It matches the Rfam family "Bacterial small subunit ribosomal RNA", at positions 116 to 614 of the family's 1533-position model. The record is from RNAcentral. Lineage: Bacteria; Bacillati; Actinomycetota; Actinomycetes; Kineosporiales; Kineosporiaceae.
CGUGAGCAACCUGCCCCAGACUCUGGGAUAACUCCGGGAAACCGGUGCUAAUACCGGAUACGAGACGCUCAGGCAUCUGAUGCGUCUGGAAAGUUUUUCGGUCUGGGAUGGGCUCGCGGCCUAUCAGCUUGUUGGUGGGGUAACGGCCCACCAAGGCGACGACGGGUAGCCGGCCUGAGAGGGCGACCGGCCACACUGGGACUGAGACACGGCCCAGACUCCUACGGGAGGCAGCAGUGGGGAAUAUUGCGCAAUGGGCGAAAGCCUGACGCAGCGACGCCGCGUGAGGGACGAAGGCCUUCGGGUUGUAAACCUCUUUCAGCAGGGAAGAAGCGAAAGUGACGGUACCUGCAGAAGAAGCACCGGCUAACUACGUGCCAGCAGCCGCGGUAAUACGUAGGGUGCAAGCGUUGUCCGGAAUUAUUGGGCGUAAAGAGCUCGUAGGCGGUCUGUCGCGUCUGCCGUGAAAACUCGGGGCUCAACC